UACAGAGACCUCAAGCGUUAUCCGGAAUCAUUGGGCGUAAAGCGUACCGAUAGGUGGUUAUGCAAGUCAGAUGUGAAAUCUCCGAGCUCAACUCGGAAUCUGUCAUUUGAAACUGCACAACUAGAGGGGCAAAGAGGAAGCUAGAACGAACGGUGUAGUAGUGAAAUGCGUUGAUAUCGUUCGGAAUACCGAUAGCGAAGGCAGGCUUCUGGGUGCCACCUAACACUGCUAGGACGAAAGCGUGGGGAGCGAAUGGG
RNAcentral lists this ribosomal RNA (257 nucleotides) under uncultured bacterium. RNAcentral's name for it is "partial 16S ribosomal RNA". It matches the Rfam family "Bacterial small subunit ribosomal RNA", at positions 524 to 776 of the family's 1533-position model. The record is from RNAcentral.